Molecule: ribosomal RNA, 254 nt
Filed under: uncultured bacterium
Lineage: Bacteria
Description: partial 16S ribosomal RNA
Rfam family: Bacterial small subunit ribosomal RNA
Source: RNAcentral
UCUUUCUUUGCUGGCGACCGGCGCACGGGUGAGUAACACGUAUCCAACCUGCCCUUUACUCGGGGAUAGCCUUUCGAAAGAAAGAUUAAUACCCGAUAGCAUAAUGAUUCCGCAUGGUUUCAUUAUUAAAGGAUUCCGGUAAAGAUGGGGAUGCGUUCCAUUAGGUUGUUGGUGAGGUAACGGCCCACCAAGCCUUCGAUGGAUAGGGGUUCUGAGAGGAAGGUCCCCCACAUUGGGACUGAGACACGGUCCAA